CAUAUUCUCCAAUUGGCUAAUGGUGUGCCGUUUGGAGCAAGGGCAGUGUGUAGCGCAGCAUGCUGCGCACUUCAGUUGAGGUUGGGAAUCCGGGCGGAGACCUGCUCUUGGCUCCCAGGGCAUGGAUCGCGUGUGGCGUGCGUGGGACGGGCAGUCCUUCAAAGAGAACCAGCCUGAGUCGCCGAGUGCCAGGGGUAUCGUCGUCUCUUGGCUCAGCAGGGCUGAGUGGGAGCAAGUGACGGUUUAUCUGUUCUGCGAUGAUCACAAGUUGCAGCAGUAUGCGCUGAACCGAAUUACAGUAUGGAGGAGCAGGUUAGGCAACGAACUGCCCCUGGCAGUGGCUUCUACUGCUGACCUGGUAAGAUGCAAGCUCAUCGAUGCAGCCGGUACCUUGGGCACUGAUGAACUUAGACUGCUCUAUGGCAUGGCAUUGGUCAGGUUUGUGAAUCUUAUCUCAGAGAGGAAGACAAAAUGUUCUAACCUUCCCCUCAAAUACCUGGCUCAGGAGGUGAACAUUCCAGACUGGAUUGUUGAACUUCGCCACAACUUGACCCACAAGAAAAUGCCCCAUAUAAAUGAGUGCCGCAGAGGUUGCUACUUUGUCCUCAACUGGCUCCAGAAGACAUACUGGAGCCGUCAACUGGAAGGCAGCCUGAAAGAAACCUGGGAGUUGGAUGAGGACCAGCUAGAUGCAGAAGAUCCUGAAGAAGAGGAACGUGAAAUUAUUGCCGAUGAUGUACUUGAAGAGAUACCAGAGCCUCAGGAUGAUGACAAAGAUGAAGAGUUGGCUGUCGAGGAUGAUGCAAAUACUAAAGGCAAUGAGGAGGUGGCUUCUCAUCCAGAACCAUCUUCAAGACACAAGGAGUUGUAUGAGAAAGCGCGAGAAUUGCUGGUAUCCUAUGAAGAGGAACAGUUUAAGGUGCUGGAGAAACACAGGCAUUUGCUUCAGGCUAUUAAAGUGUGGAAUAAUCUUUCCCCACGUGUACAAUGUAUCCUAGAAGAACUCAAGAGCAUUUCAUGGGAGAACAGGGAUGCUGUGCUGGAUGCUUUUCUAGAUGAUGGUUUCCUCAUUCCUACGUUUGAGCAGUUGGCAGCUUUGCAGAUAGAGUAUGAAGAUGGUCAAACUGAGGUCCAGAAAGGGGAAGUUACUGAACCAAAUUCACACAAAAACAUCGACUUGAAUGAAGUGUUGGUGCCAAAGCCCUUCUCUCAGUUCUGGCAGCCCCUGCUCAGGGGCCUGCACUCCCAGACCUUCACGCAGGCCCUGCUAGAGAGGAUGUUCUCCGAGUUGUCUACCGUGGGGAGCACUGGGAUCCGGCCUACCUACAUCCUUAGAUGGACCGUUGAACUGAUCGUGGCCAACACCAAGACUGGACGGAAUGCUCGGCGGUUUUCUGCAAGCCAGUGGGAAGCAAGAAAGAGCUGGAGGCUGUUCAAUUGCUCUGCCACCCUUGACUGGCCGCAGGUGAUCGAGUCCUGCUUGGGCUCACCAUGCUGGGCCAGCCCUCAACUCCUUCAGGUAGUCUUCAAAGCCAUGGGACAGGUCUUGCCAGAUGAAGAGCAGGAGAAGCUGCUGCGAGUCUGUUCCAUUUAUACUCAGAAUGGAGAGAAUGGCUUGGCAAAGGCGAUUGAAGGUUCCUCCUCCUCCUCCACUGGCAAAGCUCCGUACACACUGGAUACCUUACAUGAGGACCUACAACCACCUGGUACCAACUGUGAGUCCGAAGAAAGUAUUCAACAGAAGGAGCAAGGCAACCUUAAGGAUGUCAAGCAAGAGGAGAAAAAGGAGAAUGAGGAAGAGGAGAAGGAGGAGGAGGAGAUGGAGGAGGAGGAAGAAGAGGAGGAGGAAGAAAAGGAGGAGGAAGAGGAAGAGCAGGAGCAGGAAGAACACCAGGAGGAAGAACAGGAGGAGGAGGAGGAGGAAGAGAACCAAAAGGUCUUUCAAGAUCAGAUGGAGGCAGAUGUUGAGGAAAGUGAUGAUGUAGAAGAAGAGGAAGAAGUAGAUGAUGAAGAAGAAGAUGAAGAUGAUGACUAUGAUGAUGAUGAAGAAGAAGACAGGAUGGAAGUGGGGGCCUUCUCUCUUGCACAGGGAUCCAGUGUUUUUGAGAAUACUAGGACCACGUCUCGGAAGAGAGAAGCACUGCAGGGUUCAGCAUGGCAAGUAAGCUCUGAAGAUGUGCGAUGGGGUACAUUCCCUCUAGGCCGGCUACCAGGCCAGACUGAGGACCCAGCAGAGCUUAUGCUGGAUAAUUAUGACACCAUGUAUCUUUUGGACCAACCUGUAAUAGAGCACCGGCUAGAACCCCAGAAGUCCAAAAGUAGAAUCCGCUGCUUCUUGAAGACCACACAGAACGCUGUGCCUUAACCCCUGCUGUGUACUUGGAGGUGAUGGAGGGUAGAAGCCAGCCAGGCCCCCUGCCCUUCCUCAUGAGCAGGAUUCCCUGAGCUGUGCCUAAUGUUUGGCUGUGAACCUCUACAUCUAUUUCCAUCACUUGCUGGAUGAAGCCUCUCUGAUGACUACUGGGCUAGGCACAAAUCUAUGAGUAUCAUCAGGAAUCAGUUCAUUGACUGUUUUAUGUUUUGUUUUGAUUUUGCCAUUCCUUUUGGUACAGAAAUUCUACAGAACCUUUUCAGUUUCAUGUGGUUUUGUGGGUGUUAUUUGUUCUUGAUUUUACAGGGCCUUCAGAUGCAUCAUACAUCAAUUUGCAGUCUCUCAAUUUUUUUUUCAUGGUGGCACUCAUGGAUAUAAACUUUCCUCUGAGAACUCCCUUCGUUAGGUUACAUAUAUUUUGUUGUACUUGACUUUUAAACUUUCUGUACUUAUUUCAUCCUUGAUUCUAUUUUCAUUUAGUAUUGUGAUGUUUAGUUUCUGUGAAUUCAUGUACUUUCUACUGCAGCUUCUAAUUAGCUUUACUCAGGUUAUAAUCAGAUAACCACGCUGGAUGUAAUUUUACAUUCUCCAUAUUUGUAGAUUUUGUCUUGUGUUGGAGGAAGUUUCAUGGGAUUGCUGUGAUGCAUAUGGAUUCUUUGGUACUUGAACAGAAUAUUCUAUAAAUACAUUAGUUCUGUUUGAUUUAUGAUGUCAUUUAAUUCACAGAUUUUUCUCUUUAGCUUAUUUCCAGAUGACAAUGUAAUAGUAGAAUUCCUAUUACUGAAAUAAACCACUAUUAUUCAAAGCAA
Molecule: RNA transcript, 3180 nt
Organism: Mus musculus (house mouse)
Lineage: Eukaryota; Metazoa; Chordata; Mammalia; Rodentia; Muridae
Gene: Las1l
Gene name: LAS1-like (S. cerevisiae)
Exons: 16
Source: RefSeq, marked validated